RNAcentral lists this ribosomal RNA (703 nucleotides) under Acetobacteraceae bacterium MS302e. RNAcentral describes it as "bacterial SSU rRNA". It matches the Rfam family "Bacterial small subunit ribosomal RNA", at positions 1 to 756 of the family's 1533-position model. Lineage: Bacteria; Pseudomonadati; Pseudomonadota; Alphaproteobacteria; Acetobacterales; Acetobacteraceae. The record is from RNAcentral.
UAGAGUUUGAUCCUGGCUCAGAGCGAACGCUGGCGGAAUGCUUAACACAUGCAAGUCGCACGGGCAGCAAUGUCAGUGGCGGACGGGUGAGUAACGCGUAGGAAUGUGUCCUGAGAUGGGGGACAACGCCGGGAAACUGGCGCUAAUACCGCAUAUGUCCUGAGGGACAAAGCCGCGAGGCGUCUUAGGAGCAGCCUGCGUCCGAUUAGCUUGUUGGUGGGGUAAAGGCUUACCAAGGCGACGAUCGGUAGCUGGUCUGAGAGGAUGAUCAGCCACACUGGAACUGAGACACGGUCCAGACUCCUACGGGAGGCAGCAGUGGGGAAUAUUGGACAAUGGGCGCAAGCCUGAUCCAGCAAUUCCGCGUGGGUGAAGAAGGUCUUCGGAUUGUAAAGCCCUUUCGACGGGGACGAUGAUGACGGUACCCGUAGAAGAAGCCCCGGCUAACUUCGUGCCAGCAGCCGCGGUAAUACGAAGGGGGCUAGCGUUGCUCGGAAUGACUGGGCGUAAAGGGCGCGUAGGCGGCACACAUAGUCAGGCGUGAAAUUCCUGGGCUUAACCUGGGGGCUGCGUUUGAUACAUGUGAGCUAGAGGAUGGAAGAGGCUCGUGGAAUUCCCAGUGUAGAGGUGAAAUUCGUAGAUAUUGGGAAGAACACCGGUGGCGAAGGCGGCGAGCUGGUCCAUUACUGACGCUGAGGCGCGA